Molecule: ribosomal RNA, 490 nt
Filed under: uncultured bacterium
Lineage: Bacteria
Description: partial 16S ribosomal RNA
Rfam family: Bacterial small subunit ribosomal RNA
Source: RNAcentral
AUUGAACGCUGGCGGCAGGCCUAACACAUGCAAGUCGAACGGUAACAGGAAGAAGCUUGCUUCUUUGCUGACGAGUGGCGGACGGGUGAGUAAUGUCUGGGAAACUGCCUGAUGGAGGGGGAUAACUACUGGAAACGGUAGCUAAUACCGCAUAACGUCGCAAGACCAAAAAGGGGGACCUUCGGGCCUCUUGCCAUCUGAUGUGCCCAGAUGGGAUUAGCUAGUAGGUGGGGUAACGGCUCACCUAGGCGACGAUCCCUAGCUGGUCUGAGAGGAUGACCAGCCACACUGGAACUGAGACACGGUCCAGACUCCUACGGGAGGCAGCAGUGGGGAAUAUUGCACAAUGGGCGCAAGCCUGAUGCAGCCAUGCCGCGUGUAUGAAGAAGGCCUUCGGGUUGUAAAGUACUUUCAGCGGGGAGGAAGGGAGUAAAGUUAAUACCUCUGCUCAUUGACGGUACCCGCAGAAGAAGCACCGGCUAACUCCGUG